UACUGUUAAUGAUGAUUUUGUUUUGAACAAUGGGAAUCUCUCUGAAAGAGACUGAGGAAGACUUUGAUACUGAAACAGUA
Molecule: small nucleolar RNA, 80 nt
Organism: Crocodylus porosus (Australian saltwater crocodile)
Lineage: Eukaryota; Metazoa; Chordata; Crocodylia; Crocodylidae
Gene: SNORD79
Rfam family: Small nucleolar RNA SNORD79
About the family: snoRNA U79 or Z22 is found in intron 7 of the gas5 gene in humans and is also present in mice.
Source: Ensembl